RNAcentral lists this ribosomal RNA (266 nucleotides) under uncultured bacterium. RNAcentral describes it as "partial 16S ribosomal RNA". It matches the Rfam family "Bacterial small subunit ribosomal RNA", at positions 88 to 354 of the family's 1533-position model. The record is from RNAcentral.
CGGGCGACCGGCGCACGGGUGAGUAACACGUAUGCGACCUGCCCGCAGCAGGGGGAUAAGCGGAAGAAAUUCCGUCUAAUACCGCGUAACAACGUUGGGAGGCAUCUCCCGAUGUUUAAAGAUUUAUCGGCUGCGGAUGGCCAUGCGGCGCAUUAGCUAGUCGGCGGGGUAACGGCCCACCGAGGCGACGAUGCGUAGGGGUUCUGAGAGGAAGGUCCCCCACACUGGUACUGAGACACGGACCAGACUCCUACGGGAGGCAGCAG